UACGAAGGGGGCUAGCGUUGUUCGGAAUUACUGGGCGUAAAGAGCGUGUAGGCGGCCAAGCAGGUCCGUUGUGAAAACUGGAGGCUUAACCUCCAGACGUCGACGGAAACCGCGUGGCUAGAGUCCGGAAGAGGAGAGUGGAAUUCCUGGUGUAGCGGUGAAAUGCGCAGAUAUCAGGAAGAACACCAAUGGCGAAGGCAGCUCUCUGGGACGGUACUGACGCUGAGACGCGAAAGCGUGGGGAGCGAACAGG
This 253-nucleotide ribosomal RNA is filed under the name uncultured bacterium. RNAcentral describes it as "partial 16S ribosomal RNA". It matches the Rfam family "Bacterial small subunit ribosomal RNA", at positions 524 to 776 of the family's 1533-position model. The record is from RNAcentral.